GGUCCUGAGUAGAUGCUGAACAAGUCUGAGGAAGGAUGAAGAGGGAAGGAGAAGGAAAGACAGGCGGAAGCCACCGCCUUCCUACGCCGGCCUCCUUUGCCCUCUUCGCACGCCAGGGCUCUGGGUCCAUUCGGUUCGCCCUCAAAUUCAGUCCUCUCUGAAAUUGCAGAAGUCUCUGAAGCAUAUAAUUUGUGGCUUCCAAUGAGUUUGAACUUCAUGCUUGAAGUGAUGCACAAGCCCUGGAUAUCCUGGUACGCGCAGAAACUGAACCAAGGCACAGCCGACAGUUGCUUCAACUUGGCAAAGAUUAAACGUAAGACAGUUUCAUCUGAAACUUGAAAAAUAUCAUCACCAACCAUUAAUAACAAGCCCAUGGACUGAUUUUCAACUGUAGAAGCUGAAAAGAAAGAAUAAAAGAUAUUUUUCUCUCAUUUUCACUGAGAACCAAAAUAUUCAUGUCCAAAACCAAGGGCCAUGAUGAAUGCUUUCAAGCACACUCUGCACACUCUUAAAUGAUGCAAAUUUCUCUAUCUUAAAUCAUCAGACAAAUUCAUCUCUUAAGGCCACUUCCUUCAUUGAAACAUCACUCUUUCAGCUUUGCCAACCAUAGCAGAUUUCUUUUCCUGAUAAUACCAACCAAGGGAAGACCUACAUUAGUACCUGUUUUUGCUAACGGAAAGAAAUCUGAAGAAGAUUUUCACCUUGACAAGAUGUCUAUUUUCAGAUGGCUUAUUCUCGCCAAAGAUGAGAAUUACCAUUAUGCUCCCUUACUACAUGACUUCUGCAGAUAAAUCAACAACGAAGAAUCUUCCAGACAGCAACCUCUGGGAUCACAGAGAACAACGGAUAAAAAAGAUUCAUCCAAAGAGCAAACCAGGAGAUGGCUUCACCAGGGAAUUUACUCUGCCAGUUCAGGCCUCUUUUCUAUGCCUUCCCUGUGUAUGAGAUAUUUAUGUGGAUCAUUGACUUCUGCUAUGUUCCAUUCUUCCCUUUUCCAAGUAGUCUAGUGUGGUUUUCCUAUUCUAUCACCAUUGUACACUGGAUAUGUUGAGAAGUAGAUAAAUGUGUCAUUGAGUAUAGAGGUGAUGUACCUGGAGGGGCACAUCUCUCAAAUACCUGAGACUUUUAGCUGAAGACGGUCCUGGUACAGAAAUUUGGAUUGUCUUUCUUGGGGAGGGGUGAUAUUAUUCUGCACAUGGGAAGAAGAGAAUGCAUUGUUUUUGUGUGCGUGGCCAAAGGGAUGCAUUAGGGUAAAGACUGUUCCCAAACACCCAUUCUUCCCUUAUCUAAGAGUAAUGGAUAUUUAGAUUAAUUUAUAGAUUUUUAGCUGGACAUAUAGUUGCCAGAAUAUAGAGCAUAUUCCCCAACUUUCUCAAUAUCUCCAAAACCCAUAUGACAAAGCCUUGGACAAUGAUGUAUGAGAAAAAAGUAAUAAGUCUUCAAAAAGUUAAACAUGAAGUUACCGUAAAGCCCAGAAAUUCCAUGCCUACGUGCAUAACUGAGAGAAUUGAAAACAUUCCCACAUAUAAAUUUGUCCAUGUUUGUUCAAAGCAACAUUAUUCAUAAAAGCCAAAAAGUAGAAGAAAUUCAAAUGCUUAUCAACUGAGGAAUGGGUAAAUAAAAUAUGAAAUGCAGGCACAUCAUACAACAGAAUAUCAUUCUGCAGUGAAAAGGAAUAAAGUACUGACAUACAUACAAUAUAUAUCAACCUUGAAAACAUUAUGUUAAGUGAACAAAGGAUGUCACA
This is a non-coding RNA of Manis javanica (Malayan pangolin), 1747 nucleotides long. NCBI's taxonomy places the organism in Eukaryota, Metazoa, Chordata, Mammalia, Pholidota, Manidae. The record is from RefSeq and is a predicted model, not a curated record.